UUGAGGGGUGGGGUGAAGUAUGAUGCGCAGUUGUCUUUGGAGAAGAAUCUUGUUACAUGUGCAUCCUAGUUUAGGAAGAUUGUAAAUGUUGUUAUGGCCCCUCCUCAUGUGGGACCCACAUCAUUUAAAAAUAGAAAAAAAAUAUCGUGGUAGUUUUUUUUCAAAAAUCACUUGGCUUCAAAGUGCGGCAACUGUGGAAAAACCGAACAAUAGGAAGAGCAGAAAUAGAGUAAAAAAA
RNAcentral lists this long non-coding RNA (238 nucleotides) under Phoenix dactylifera (date palm). RNAcentral's name for it is "long non-coding RNA (PDAC_LNC006987)". The record is from RNAcentral. Lineage: Eukaryota; Viridiplantae; Streptophyta; Magnoliopsida; Arecales; Arecaceae.